GGAAAACUCAAAAUUGAGGUCAUCGUGAAAAUUUCUAAAAAAUGGCGAAGUCCGGUUGCUGGUAAAAAGCUAAAUCAAAUUCAAUUAUAAAACAUUUGUUUAUAACAUUAUGGGUUUUGCAGAUUUAAAAAAAAAAACAAAAUACAUUCUGAAAAGUAUUUUUUUCGCUUCUUCUUCUUCUUAUUGUCAUUAGUGUUCAUUCAGCACUCCCACAGUUAUAAACUGCGAGGUUUCUAAGCCAAGUUACCAUUUAUGCAUUCAUAUAUCAUGAGGCUAACACGAUGAUACUUCCAUGCCCAGGGAAGUCGAGACAAUUUCCAAACCGAAAAUUGCCUAGACCGGCAUCGGGAAUCGAACCCAGCCACCCUCAGCAUGGUCUUGCCUUUCAGCUGGGCAUCUUACCGCUAGGCUAAGGAGGGCCCCUGCAGCUGCUCACAUCGGAUUUCUGCAUCAGCCUGAAUAUCAGGUUCUGAGGGCUUCAGAUACAGAUACUGGAUACUGCUUCUGGGGAUUGGGACACGUUUCGUAGCGCCAAACAUCAUGCUCCAGAAAUUA
Armigeres subalbatus is the source of this 555-nucleotide long non-coding RNA. RefSeq lists it as uncharacterized. Lineage: Eukaryota; Metazoa; Arthropoda; Insecta; Diptera; Culicidae. The record is from RefSeq and is a predicted model, not a curated record. The transcript is spliced from 3 exons.